ACCGGCAGCUCAAGUGGUGGCCAUUUUUAUUGGGCCUAAAGCGUUCGUAGCCGGUUUGAUAAGUCUCUGGUGAAAUCCCGCAGCUUAACUGUGGUACUUGCUGGAGAUACUAUUAGACUUGAGGUCGGGAGAGGUUAGGGGUACUCCCAGGGUAGGGGUGAAAUCAUAUACUCCUGGGAGGACGACCUGUGGCGAAGGUGUCUUAAUGGACCGAACCUGACGGUGAGUAACGAAAGCGAGGGGCGCCAACCG
This 252-nucleotide ribosomal RNA is filed under the name uncultured prokaryote. Its description in RNAcentral is "partial 16S rRNA". It matches the Rfam family "Archaeal small subunit ribosomal RNA", at positions 475 to 726 of the family's 1478-position model. The record is from RNAcentral.